This 253-nucleotide ribosomal RNA is filed under the name uncultured bacterium. Its description in RNAcentral is "partial 16S ribosomal RNA". It matches the Rfam family "Bacterial small subunit ribosomal RNA", at positions 524 to 776 of the family's 1533-position model. The record is from RNAcentral.
UACGUAGGCAGCGAGCGUUUGUUCGGAAUUACUGGGCGUAAAGCGUGCGUAGGCGGUGCCUCAAGUUUGGUGUGAAAUCUCCCGCUCAACCGGGAGGGUGCGCCGAAAACUGAGGUGCUCGAGUGUGGGAGAGGUAAGCGGAAUUCCUGGUGUAGCGGUGAAAUGCGUAGAUAUCAGGAGGAACACCGGCGGUGUAGACGGCUUACUGGACCAUAACUGACGCUGAGGCACGAAAGUGUGGGGAGCAAACAGG